This 460-nucleotide ribosomal RNA is filed under the name uncultured bacterium. RNAcentral describes it as "SSU rRNA". It matches the Rfam family "Bacterial small subunit ribosomal RNA", at positions 26 to 518 of the family's 1533-position model. The record is from RNAcentral.
AGAAUCAACGCUGGCGGCGUGCCUAACACAUGCAAGUCGAACGAGAAAGUGGAGCAAUCCAUGAGUAAAGUGGCGCACGGGUGAGUAACACGUGACUAACCUACCCUUGAGUGGGGGAUAAACCUAGAGAAAUCUGGGCUAAUACCGCAUAAUACCUUCGGGUCAAAGGAGCAAUUCGCUUAAGGAGGGGGUCGCGGCCGAUUAGUUAGUUGGCGGGGUAAUGGCCCACCAAGACUAUGAUCGGUAUCCGGCCUGAGAGGGCGCACGGACACACUGGAACUGAAACACGGUCCAGACUCCUACGGGAGGCAGCAGUGGGGAAUUUUGCGCAAUGGGGGAAACCCUGACGCAGCAACGCCGCGUGGAGGAUGAAGUCCCUUGGGACGUAAACUCCUUUCGAUCGGGACGAUAAUGACGGUACCGAGAGAAGAAGCCCGGCUAACUUCGCGCCAGCAGCCGC